Mus musculus (house mouse) is the source of this 11288-nucleotide long non-coding RNA. RefSeq annotates it as predicted gene, 36447. Lineage: Eukaryota; Metazoa; Chordata; Mammalia; Rodentia; Muridae. The record is from RefSeq and is a predicted model, not a curated record. The transcript is spliced from 4 exons.
GUUUCUCUGUGUAGCCCUGGCUGUCCUGGAACUCACUUUGUAGACCAGGCUGGCCUUGAACUCAGAAAUCCGCCUGCUCAGGACCAUUUCUAAGAGGCUAAGAACUACAUUGUCAGGUUUACGAAGCAGUGGCCCUAUUUCUUGACACCAGUCAUCUGUAUUGGUAGCAUCUCAUUUCUGUGACAGGAUAUCUGAUGAAAGCAAUGUAAGGACGAAAGGGGUUUGGUUUGGUGUUCUGGCUCGCAGUUCAAGAGGAUCCAAGGCCAUCACAGCAGGGGAUGUGGCUCCCUGACAGUAGAGCAUUCAGCUAGGACCCCAUGUUUGGGCAGUAGAGGAAGCAGAGCUUUACUAUAAACCUCUCUUCCACCCUCACCCUGAGUCCUGUUUUCUAGGUAGGCCCCUUCUCCCAAAGAUUCCAGAACAGUGCCACCAGCCACAGACCAUGCAAGGAGACACGUGCAUGAUGAGGACUUUUGACAUCUUACACAUGGCAUCUGAACAUUAGGGGCUCUGUUCUUUGGGGAAUGGAGACCAGUUUGGCUGAAGCAAGUUUGUGCAGUAGAAUAAUUUACUUGGAAAAGUGGUUUGGCAGAACAUUGUGGAGGUGGGGGUGGGGAGUUUGAAACUAAAGCUGGCAGAAGGAAUGGUGGCAGCUUCUAAAAGCAGAAGAACAGCAUGGAGCUGAAGAACGUUAUAGAGAGGUUUUGUUGUGAUGGAACAAAACUGCAGUGCAAUUAGAUAGCUAUCAUAUUCAAAGCAGCUUACCUGCUUCAACACUUGUCCUCGGAAGCUCUUUACAAAUAGAAAUUGCUAGGACCGAGUUCCCCAGUAUUCAGAUGGCAAAUGCUGUGUGUCUUGGGGAGCCAGUUAAACUUUAAAUAACUUAGAGGCAACUCAGAGGGAAAUAGGAAAAUAAUGCCAGAGAUGAAAAUUUUGAUGUUUUUAUUGAUACCUGUGGGGUUUUUUUUUAAGCUAAGCCAUACCCAGUACCCACCCCCUUUCUCGUUGUUGUUUAAUUUUUUUGAUUGUUUUUCAAGAAACUCUGUGUAAUUCAGAGAUCUGCCUGCAUCUGCCUUCCGAGUGUCGGGAUUAAACAGCGUGUGUCCUGGGCCAUGCCUGACCUACUUUUCCUUCGUACUCUGUAAAAGUGGUUUCUGCCAGCAGACCAGUGUGCCUUGUCCUUCGUAGAAACUACUUGGCACUGCUUGGGAAGGCCAUGAUUAUUGUCGCUCUUCUGAGGAUGUUAACUAUUGCAGCUGUGUAUCAGCUCUGUGUUCCCCCAUGCCUCUUGUGCUGGUCCUAUACAGGAGCAUGAGGAGAGUCCUUGAAGGAAUUAUAUGUGUCCAAAUUGCUUUAGAAAAAGCCUAGCACAGCCAGGCAGUGGUAGCGCACGCCGUUAAUCCCAGCACUUGGGAGGCAGAGACAGGUGGAUUUCUGAGUUCAAGGCCAGCCUGGUCUACAGAGUGAGUUCCACGACAGCCAGGGCUACACAGAGAAACCCUGUUUAUAAAUAAAUAAAUAAAUAAAUAAAUAAAUAAAUAAAUAAAUGCCUAGCACUGUUUGUGUUUUGCUAAUUCUGUGGUGCAGAUACUUGUUUGUUCAUUCAUUUAUCAUUAAAAUGGAACAGCAUUGUUCAGGGUUGUCACUUCUUUAAAAAUUAUUUUUCUGUGAUACAUUUAUUUCCUGUUUGUGACUUUCCCCAAGUCUUUUAUUUUUUUUAAAUCACUGAGGUUUUUUUGAGGAUGUGUUUUGAAUUUAGUCAGUCAUACCUUGUGUCUUACUUUUCUGUGAAGAGAUACCAUGACUGACUAAGGCAUCUUACAGAAGAACAAGUUUCAGGGGGUGAGUCCAUGGUCAUUGUGUCAGGAAGCGUGGCAGCAAGCAGGCAGGGAUGGUGCUGGAAGCAGAAGCUGAGAGAGCUUACAUCUAGUCCACGAGGAGAGACCUGAGAGGGAUGUAGGCUCAUGAACCUCAAGGCCUGUUGCCAGUGACGUCAUACCACCAACAAGGCCACCCCUCCCUCCUAGUCCUUCUCAGGCAGUUGUACCAACUGGGACCAAACAUUGAAACCUAUGAGCCUAUGGGGGCCUGCUAAUCCAGACCACCAUGCCUUGUGGUUCUCCAUUUCCUCUUUUAUUUAAAGGACAGUAUGGUUUGAGUUUAUAUAGAUGCUGUGUUAGCGUAUCGUCUUCCUGAGAGUCUUUACAUACUAAGUUUUCUUCUGGCAUAGAACUUUUUUUUCCCUUCUGUUACAUGCUAUAGAAAUGUUACUUUUUAAUUUGCUUGAGAUGUUGGAGAUCAAACACAGUCUGCAUGCUAAAUUAAGUGAGUGGUCUACCACUGAACCACAUUCCCAAUCAACCACCCCUAUUUUUUACUCUAUCUUGAGAAAAACAAACAAACAAACAAGUACUACAUUGUCUAGAUUGGCCCUGAAUUAACUGUUUUCUCAGCAGUCUUGAGUUUGAGAUCUCCCUGCUUUAGUCACCCUCUGGUCUCUCAGUGUGACUCGGCAACACCCAGCCCAGCUUAGAGUCCUGUCGCUGUGAACUCCUCUAAUGUGCCUGCCUCUUUCAUUUGGCUUCUGUGUUUCAUGUUUAUUAUAAGAUAUUGAAAAUAUUUUCCUAUUUUCUUCUAAUACUUCAGUUCUUUACGUUACUUAAUCCCCGGACUAUCUGCACAUUGCAUGCCACUGACACAGAUCUGGGAACGGAGUCUCCCUACGCCUCAAUCUCUUUCUGAACUUAAUCUCUUUGUGCCUAUGUCACCGUUACCAGCCCUACAUCUAUGUGGUGUUUUUCUAUACUUAUUACAAGAAGUGUUUUAGUCUUGAUUUUUAAAAUACCCGGGUGAUUCUUAGCUAGUCUUGGCCUUUUCUCAGACAACUCAGCUUGCUAACUUCCAUUUUGAAGAUCCUGGUAGUAUCUUUAGGAAAGGCCCCCCAAAUAUAAACUACUUUGCAAAAGAUGAAAAAAAAUUGUUUUGGUUUUUUGUUCUGCUUUUGCUGUCUUGUUUUGUUUUGGAGACAGGAGUUCUCUGGGUAAACUUAGCCGGCCUUGAACUCAUUUUAUGGUCCAAGCUGGCCUUAAAUUCAGAGAUCUGCCAUCCUCUGCUGCCUCCCCGAGUGCUGGGAUUAAAGGCAUGCUCUGCCUUCACCUUGUUAAGACUGAAAAUGGUUAUGCUAGCCUCUGAGUGGGGCAGUCGUUUCUCCAACUGCCCUUCAUUACACAAGCUUCUCUGAGGAGGUCUGAGAGUUGUGCUAAUCUGUGCUGUGCCUGAUCAUUUGGCUAAGAUCCCUUGGUUGAGCUCACUAGCCCCAGGGAUGAACCUACUACUAUUCUAAAAAUGUUCUGUCCUUAUUUUAGUAUUGGUGUAUUCCAGGAUUGAGUAGUCUUGAAUGAACAGGGAGAUCUGUCUGUGGUUUUCUGUGAAAUUGUAUCAUGUAGGGUUCCUUCUUUAAGAUUGCACAUCAUGAUUUUUUUUUUCCAUCAAGGAAUAUUUUACAAAACCAAGAAUAGUAUAAUAAACACUUGUAGUCUUAUGCCCCGAUUUAAAAGCUGUGAGCCUUUUGCUCUCUGUUUUAGUUUGCACAAACUCUGCCUCUCUGUGUCUCCCUGCCCAUAGCCAUUCUGCAUCCUCUUGUUGUUUGAACUCAGAUAUUGCGUGUCGUCCGCAAGCCUAUUCCUAGCUCCAUUUUACAUGUUUCAGAAUAUUUAGCACAAUUUAUUUUAAAUUGUCAGAGAUAGUACCUGUUUUUAAAUUUGUAUUUUUAACUUUUGAAAUUUUGCUGUCAAAGCCUGUGUCAUAAACUCAGAGAUGACAUUGUGGUCAUUGUGCUGGUGAUCCUGUCCACGUAUAGGUAAGAGGUGAUAGUUCUUAAAGCAUUUGUCCUGAAGGAAAAGAUAGAAAUGCACGUGCCGCUACUUUUCUCCUUGCUGUGACAGAAUACUUGACAAAAGGCGACUGAAGGGGUGGGAGGGGUUUGUGGUUCUGCAUCUCACCUCGAUGCUGUGGUUUGUGAACUCUGCUUGGGCAGAUGAAAGGGGAGGUAGCUGAAGAUGGGGACCCCAGCCCGGGUAAGGCAGGCUGAGGCUGAAGAGGUGGGGGCUGAUUCCCAAACUCCUGGGGUUGUCUAGUCAUCACUGGGAACCUCGUAGAGUCAGGAAUGAAGCAGGGCCAUGUGGGCCUGCAAUGGGAGUGGAGCAGGGGGAAGACUCCUGCUUAGCCUAGGAUGGCUUAGCUCAGGGGUGAGUGUCCAGGAGCAUGGAGGGGCCUUCUGUGGGAGACUUUAGCAGCUCUAUAUAAUGAAGGCUUCCCCCCAUGGUGGUUCUUGCUUGUUCAAACAUUUUGUUCAUUGUUCAUCAUGGGAAAUGGGUGCAUACAACUUACUCGGGGUGGACCAGAGAUUACAUACCUUUUGCAGGAAGGAAUGUCUUGGAUGGAAAGCUUAAAGUUAAACCCUCCAGUCAGCCCAUCUAGAUACCUCAUUGGUUUGGAGGACUCAGUGGUCAUUAUGAUCCUCAAGUGGGAUGUCCUGGUCACAUGCUCCAGGACAGGACCCAGGUUGAGUGCAGAUGGAACACCUACUGGUCUUAGAUAUGAGAAUACCGGGGGUUUCUGAACCCGUUCCACUUGCCCCACAGGGGUUCUUUUGCAGUAGGCAGGAAGGUCAGUAGCUCUAGCUUGUCAGCAGAAGUGAAAGGUCACAUUGCAUCCACAGUAGGGCUUGGAGAUGAUUGCUUUCUCUCCCUUUCAUUCAGUGUCUGACUCUAGCCACACCCAGAGUUGAGCCUCUUAACCUUCCUGGAAAUGCCUUCCCCAACGUGCCUAGAAGUCUCUGAGGUGACUCCCUGACUUUUUAACAGACAACUGAGAGUAUCCGUGCCAAAGGCCUAAUACCUAAACUAUGCUGCUGUGUUCCGGUGGCCACCCUUGGUGUUUUCAGACCCCAGACACUUGCACAUGACCCAGGCUAUAGUUGCUCUUACCUGUUGAUUUUAUUUCCGGUUAUAUAGUCUCUUGAAACUGAGUCUGUGGUGGUUUGGAUAAGAAUGGCCCUCGAGCGGGGCUCGGGUGGCGCACGCCUUUAUUUCUGAGUUCCAGGCCAACCUGGUCUACAAAGUAAGUUCCAGGACAGCCAGGGCUAUACAGAGAAACCCUGUUUCGAAAAACCAAAAAAAAAAAAAAAAGAAAGGCUCAUAGACUCACAUGUAUGAAUGCUUGCCCCGUAGGGAGCGCACUGUUAGGAGGUAUGUCCUGGUUGGAGUGGUCAUGGCUUUGUUGGAGGAAAUAUGUUGCUAUGGGGGCGGGCUUUGAGGUCUCCUAUGCUCACAGAUCCAGAUGCAGAACUCUCAUCUCCAUCUCCAGCACCAUGUCUGCCUGCACGCUGCCGCGUUUCCCUUUGUAAGAGUGAAUAGUCACCGUAACCUGACAUCUGUGUCCCUCCUACCUUAACUGCUCCCCCACUCCCCAAAAAGAUACAGAAUAAGAAAAAGUCAAGAGAGGACAAUAAAUAAAGGACAGUGUCAGGGCAGAGUUUAUCCUAGGUGUUUAUUCUCAGAAAAUUAGAGGACUUGGGUUCUGGAAAAGAACUUGCAGAAAUGAUUGUGAGAUAAAGACCUGCUCAGUCUCAAACAGAGCUCAGAGCAUGGCAAGGAUCAAAAUAAGACCUGCAGUGUUAAUUUCUGUGCCUACAAAACAACACCUUCUUGUAGCUUCUGUGGGCACCCACAUGCAUGUGGCGUCUAUACCCAUACACAAGAAAUACCCCCCCCCCCAAGCCAGGGUUUUCUGGUAUAGCCCUAGCUAUCCUAGAAAUAACUCUGUAGACCAGGCUGACCUUGAACCUAGAGAUCCUCCUGCCUCUGCCUCCCCAAGUGCUGGGACUCUAAAACCCAAUUGCUUGGGAAAGUUUUCUGAUGUUGUGUGUGUGUGUGUGUGUGUGUGUGUGUGUGUGUGUGUGAUGGUUAGGGGGGCUUAGAUGAACACUUAAAAUGUGCUAUAGUGAAGUCAAAUCACCAACUCUCAAAAACAGGAGGACUCAAGGGUUAAGGCUGGGUCUCCUCAUACUCUAAGCUUUGUGGCUUCUCAGGUAUGCAACCUUGACCAAGUUAUUUAUAUAAUGUCUCAGAUUCAGCAGGCACGAUGGCACACACCUUCUAUCCAGCACUUGGGAGCAGAGGCAGGUGGGGCCUCUGAUUUCAAGGCCAGCCUACUCUAUGUAGGAGGUCCAGAGCAACCAGGGCCACAUAAUGAAAUCCUGCGCUCUCCUGUUUUUAUUUCUGACUCCAUGGUCACACCCCCUCAGAGUAGAUCGCAUAAUUUUUUACAUCUUAUUGCCUGUCAUCCUCCAUUUGGGUUUGAGAGGUCUGGCAGGCAGCCUGCACAUAUGCACAUACGCAGUGUGAACAAAGGAAUUUCACUUCCCAAGUGCUGGAACAAGCAGAGAAGCCAGGCCAUUUUCAGUAGUAAACAACCAGUUGUUAGCAGUGUUAGGCGAUGAACCAAGGCAGCCCUGGUUCAAAGCCCUUUGUACCAACAUCAAUAUAUAGGCUAAUGAACCCUUCAAUACAAACUUGCAUCUUCACUUUGAAGCCUGUCUUCUGCUUGGUAAGGUUAUUUCUGCCCUAAUAGCCUGUUCUACUUACUGCAGCGCUCAUCUAGUUAAUCUCUAAUGUGUGUGGCAAAUGCCAAGAGCAAGACCCUAACACACAGUGUUCCUCCAUGGCUGCCAUAGAAGAAAAGAAAAAAGAAAAGAAAAGAAAAGAAAAGAAAAGAAAAGAAAAGAAAAGAAAAGAAAGAGCCGGGCGUGGUGGCGCACGCCUUUAAUCCCAGCACUUGGGAGGCAGAGGCAGGCAAAUUUCUGAGUUCGAGGCCAGCCUGGUCUACAAAGUGAGUUCCAGGACAGCCAGGGCUAUACAGAGAAACCCUGUCUCGAAAGAAAAGAAAACAAGAAAAAAAGAAACGAAAAAGAAAAAGAGGAGAAGAAAAAAUUACUAUAUUGUAGACUUUGAAAGAUAGAAAGGUCUUAAAUCCCCCUCCCGCUCCCCACCAUGCUGCCCCCAAGAUCUGUCUCAGAUUUCUUUCUGUUCAGAUGUCCUCUUUUCUUUCCUGUCCUGGACUUAGAUGGUACCAGAGGUCCUGGUUGAGGUCACACUCAAUUAGAAGGCAGCCAAAGGCCAAGAAAGAGGCCACCCACUGUCCAGCUAUCCUCAUGCCUUUUUGGGGAAUUCUCUAAGAACUCUACCAGGACUAAUAGUUCCUUCCUGAGGUUUUACUAAGAGUCUCCAGUUGGCAGGAGGUAGUCAUUAGUGUCUCUACCUGAGAGCAGCUCAUUGUUCUCUUUACCAAAGAAGUCUCCAAGAGGACAAAUAGCUUUCCCCAAACUUGUCAACAGGCAAAAGACAUCACCAUCUCCACCACCAAAACGUGGAGCCUCCCAUUCUCCAGCCGGCACACAAAUCUCCCCAGUCACUAAGAGGCAAAGCCUUCAUGCCGUGGAAGCUGGGAAAGGGUCAUCCCCCUCUUUCUUCCAACCACAUUCAAAACAAUUGCAUUUGCUUUUACCAUGGCCUCGAAUGUCUCAGGCCUUUUCAAGUCCUCUGCCUACUGGAAGAGGGGCAUCACUCCAAUGCAGGGAACCCAUCUUCUUAGAGGGACUUUCUAAGCCUAUAUAUCCCCCACUGGCUUGCUCACUAAACUCUGAUAAGUAGUGAAGGUUCUUGCCUGCCUCAAAAGUGAGGACCGACAGCAGUUCAGGUCAAAAGACUCAGGCCUAUUAACUGGCAAGGGAUUUGGAUUCCAAGAAGGCAGAAAAGUAAAGACAGAAAAGGGCAAGGAACACUAAAAGUUCAAAAGCACAAUAAACAUGAAAAGAAAAGCUAGAUGCAGCACAGGUGGAGGGAGGGGCCACGGCCUCGAGGUGGGAACUCCGUGGGCCCUGCUGAGAUGCUUGCAGGAAGGGUCUAGGAACCUUGGGGAGGCUUAAGGGUGUCCCGUCCGUGUUCUCAGCCUUGUUCUCAGCUGGUAGUUUGACAUUCAUCAAAGAUGGAUGAAACUUCUGCUUCAAACUAGGAGCCAGUGUUUGGUUACAUCUGCACCACUGAGGGAUGGAUGGCUUUGUGUUAUAGUGGCAUUGAACUUUCUGAAUUUCGUUCACAAUUUGUUGGCACUUUUUGAUUCCUUUAUUUAAAGGAUGACGCACGAGCAACUUUAUCCUCAUGAAACUUUUGGUGAAUUAUAAUUUUUGAGAAAACAGUUUACAAAUAGAAAGAUCUUAAAUGUCGCUUUAAAGGAGAAUCAGAACAAAAUAGACAAUGAUAUCUCACAUUUUAAAAUUUGAUUUUUGGAUUACUCUAUUUUCACCUUGGAAUGUAUUGAAUUGCACAAAGAUGUUUGAUGGUGUACUUACUUUAAUUAAAAUUUUAUGUUCCGUAUCAAAAGAAAGUCUUUGAAUUUGCAGUCUUGACAUUUGGUGAAACCUUGAAAACAAUCACAGAAAGAGACAAUGCAGUUGUUGAUUUUUUUUUUUUCUGAUUAAAAUAGAGGCCAAUAAUGGUUCCUUAAAAAAAAAUUUUUUUUUUUGGUUGAAAUGCACUUAUGCAUUUGAGGAUAAGAGCAGCAGAAGAUGCAGGAAGCCUUCGUGCAUCUAAGAAGGGCAUGUGUGCAAAGUGUUGGGAGAGGAGAGGUAAUGUAUGCCCUACCCGUGACAUCAAAGCAUGGUUCCUCUCAAGGCGGUGACUGGAAACUCUGGAGGGCCAUGCCAUACUGGAGGCUCAGUGCUGACUUCUGUUUCUGGAGACUGGUUAAUCACGAACAGCAAUAAUGAACUAAGAUGUUAAAGAGGAGGCCACACGUGCAGCAUGUCAGCUCUGAAGAGCCAGGCCUGAGCAGCUGAUUGACAGGCACUGAGUGUGCCACUCUCCCUUACCCGACUACCAGAAAUCUCCUCCAUCACUGAUGUCAGAUGUGUCUGUGGGAUGCAGACAUGUUCUUGCUCUGUGCUCAUUCUGAAAGGACCACCCACACACCUCCACCCUGCACUUCUUUGUCAUCUAUUCUUUGAGCAGGCAGACAAAUGAGUCAUUAUGGAUUCGUUCCCCAGGCCAUUUCUCCUUCUUCAUGAAGUGUGUGACCGGAUGUACCACUCAAUAUUCUACCCACAAGGCUGAUGAAGAAAACCACCACUUGACACGAGUGAUCACUAGGAGAGAGGGAGAAAAGAAUGUGACAGGUUGUAGAAUCUGAAGCUUCUGCUAGAGAAUGACAUCACCUCUGCUGGAGAAUGACAUCACCUCUGCUGGAGAAUGACUUCACCUCUGCUGGAGAAUGAUAUCACCUCUGCUGGAGAAUGACAUCACCUCUGCUGGAGAAUGACAUCACCUCUGCUGGAGAAUGACAUCACCUCUGCUGACAUUUCCUUGGUUGCCAAACAUCUUUUAUAAAAGAUGCUCUUCCAAGAGACCGAAGUCCACUGAAGUACUGAUAGACCCCCGAUGAGCAGAGGGGAUGGAUAAAAAGAAAGCAUUGUGUAGAAGCACAGUGGAAUACUGUUCACCUACAAAUGAGGGGAAUUCCGUCAUCUGCAAUAACAUGAGUGAACUUGGAGAACACCCUGCUAAGUGUGCUCAGGGAGUGGCACUAUUAGGAGGUGUGGCCUCGGUGGAGUAGGUGUGGCCUUGUUGGAGUAGUGUGUCAUUGUGGGCAUGGGCAUGGCCUUGUCCUAGAUGCCCAGAAGCCAGUCUUCUCCUGUCUGUCUUCAGAUGAAGAUGUAGAACUCUCAGCUUUGCCUGCACUAUGCCUGCCUGGACACUGCCAUGUUCCUGCCUUGAUACUGGACUGAACCUCUGAAUCUGUUAGCCAGCCUCAAUUAAAUGCUGUCCUUAUAAGAGCUGCCUUGGUCAUGGCGUCUGUUUAUCCUGUAAAGCCCUGACUAAGACACACUUAUAUGUAGAAACUAAAGCAAUCGAAUUCCCAGAUUGAGAGAGUAGAAUGGUGGAUGCCAGAUGCCAGGGCGUAUGGAGAUACAGAAAGGUAACUCAGGGCACCUUGGUGGUGGCCAAGAAACCUAAGAGCAGAGAAAGACUGACCUGUAAGGUAAGGAGUUACUUCCAAAACAACGCCCCGACUCCUGACAAAGGCGCGUGCGCUCGAGAUGUUGUUUAGGCAACCAUAUGUUUAUAUAUGAUAGUUACUUUAGGGGUAAGUUCAUCCUGGAGCACACCCAGUUUAAAGUUCAAGAGGGACAGAUGCUGGAUACAAACCAGCCCAGGAAAUCUGGCAUUCUCUUUUGGCCUCCACUGGAAUUGCAUGUAUAUAAUAUACAGACAUACAUACAUGCAGGUAAACUCCCAUAUAUAUACCAAAACAUAUAUACACAUAAAAUAAAAGACUGAGUUUUGAGAUCUAUUGUCCAACGUGGUGAUUAUAGUUAAUAAUGAUGAACUGCUUCCCCUUUAAAACUGUGAAGAAUUAAAAUUUCAAAUGUUGUCUCAAACAACACAUACACGAGGAGAUGGAUUUGCUAACUAGUGUGAUUAAAUAAUUUUAUAUUGGACACUCCAAUUCUAACAUGACCCUGUUCUUCUUGAGUCUGCAUAAUUAGAAUUGGUUAAAUCUCAACGGCAAAACAAAUAAAAGCACAUGACCUUAUUUGUAAAACAACAACAACAACACCUUGGCAGAUGCAUUUAAUGAAGAUGAGGCUGAGUGUGAUUAAAGGGGCUGUUGAUCCAAUGACGGGGGCCCUAGUAGGAGGAGGACACGGAGCGGAGCGGAGCCACAGGCGCAUGCCCAGCGCCAGCCACUGUCGGGAUUGAGGAGAGGUGAGGAGGGUCCUUACUGGAGCUGCCAUGGAGUGUGCCCCUCUGACCUCGUCACUCUGACACCUGUCCGGUGGAACUGUCCUCUUAGGCUGCUCAGACUGUGGCACAUGGUUAAAGGAGCCACAGGAAGUGGACUCACAUGCGGCUUCCUGUGCUGGGCACAAAUGGUAAAUGGGGUGGUAGCCCUCAUAUGUACAGUGCUUCCUAAUCCCAGCUCCCAGGGCAUCCAGCUUUUACCGCGACUUGAACGUGAACCCAGUUAUUCUUGGAUUUUUGCCUGCUCUUCCCACAGCUACCUUGUUCAGCUCAGACAUUUGUUUGUUUGUUUUGGUUUUGGUUUUUUUUUUACAGGUGGGAAAGGCGGGGCAGGGCUCUUAAGGAAACUGUUCAGCCUUGCUCUAUGGCAUCCCUUGAUGACGGGAACUGAAAGGCCUAGGAUAUCAUGAUAAACAGCUGUGUCCUAUG